AACGAACGCUGGCGGCAUGCCUAACACAUGCAAGUCGAACGAGACCUUCGGGCCUAGUGGCGCACGGGUGCGUAACGCGUGGGAACCUGCCCUUAGGUCCGCAAUAACUCCCCGAAAGGGGUGCUAAUACCGGCUCAUGUCCUCGGACCAAAGAUUUAUCGCCUUUGGAUGGGCCCGCGUUGGAUUAGCUAGUUGGUAGGGUAAAAGCCUACCAAGGCGACGAUCCAUAGCUGGUCUGAGAGGAUGGUCAGCCACACUGGGACUGAGACACGGCCCAGACUCCUACGGGAGGCGGCAGUGGGGAAUAUUGGACAGUGGGCGAAGGCCUGAUCCAGCAAGGCCGCGUGAGUGAUGAAGGCCUUAGGGUUGUAAAGCUCUUUUACCCGGGAUGAUAAUGACAGUACCGGGAGAAUAAGCUCCGGCUAACUCCGUG
This 433-nucleotide ribosomal RNA is filed under the name uncultured bacterium. RNAcentral's name for it is "partial 16S ribosomal RNA". It matches the Rfam family "Bacterial small subunit ribosomal RNA", at positions 29 to 507 of the family's 1533-position model. The record is from RNAcentral.